Molecule: ribosomal RNA, 253 nt
Filed under: uncultured bacterium
Lineage: Bacteria
Description: partial 16S ribosomal RNA
Rfam family: Bacterial small subunit ribosomal RNA
Source: RNAcentral
UACGUAGGGUGCGAGCGUUGUCCGGAAUUAUUGGGCGUAAAGAGCUCGUAGGCGGUCUGUCGCGUCUGCUGUGAAAUCCCGAGGCUCAACCUCGGGCUUGCAGUGGGUACGGGCAGGCUAGAGUGCGGUAGGGGAGAAUGGAACUCCUGGUGUAGCGGUGAAAUGCGCAGAUAUCAGGAGGAACACCGGUGGCGAAGGCGGGACUCUGGGCCGAUACUGACGCUGAGGAGCGAAAGCGUGGGGAGCGAACAGG